UUCUUUUUCUUUUUACAUCCAUACAACCAUGAGCCUUUUCUUUGUUUUUUUUCUUUCUUUUCUUUUUCUUUGCUCAAUGGUUUCAAGGGUGAUUUCUUUUUCUUGUUUCUUUUCAUAUUUUCACCCUUUCAUAAAAACUCACUUCUCCAAGUUUCUAAUCAACUCUUUUUACUUUACUCUCCCCAACUUUAGAUUCCAAAACCAAAUUUAUUCAAUAAUGCUC
RNAcentral lists this long non-coding RNA (223 nucleotides) under Lathyrus oleraceus (garden pea). RNAcentral describes it as "Pisum sativum (pea) long non-coding RNA (PSAT_LNC033626)". Lineage: Eukaryota; Viridiplantae; Streptophyta; Magnoliopsida; Fabales; Fabaceae. The record is from RNAcentral.